CCUACGGGAGGCAGCAGUGGGGAAUAUUGCACAAUGGGCGAAAGCCUGAUGCAGCAACGCCGCGUGAGCGAUGAAGGCCUUCGGGUCGUAAAGCUCUGUCCUCAAGGAAGAUAAUGACGGUACUUGAGGAGGAAGCCCCGACUAACUACGUGCCAGCAGCCGCGGUAAUACGUAGGGGGCUAGCGGUAUCCGGAAUUACUGGGCGUAAGGGGUGCGUAGGUGGUUUCUUAAGUCAGAGGUGAAAGGCUACGGCUCAACCGUAGUAAGCCUUUGAAACUGGGAAACUUGAGUGCAGGAGAGGAGAGUGGAAUUCCUAGUGUAGCGGUGAAAUGCGUAGAUAUUAGGAGGAACACCAGUUGCGAAGGCGGCUCUCUGGACUGUAACUGACACUGAGGCACGAAAGCGUGGGGAGCAAACAGGAUUAGAUACCCUUGUAGUC
This 439-nucleotide ribosomal RNA is filed under the name uncultured bacterium. Its description in RNAcentral is "partial 16S ribosomal RNA". It matches the Rfam family "Bacterial small subunit ribosomal RNA", at positions 338 to 795 of the family's 1533-position model. The record is from RNAcentral.